AUGGCCGUCCUCCUCCGCGCACGCUCCCACCUCCUCUCCGGCGCCAUCCGCCGCAGCUUGCUCGGGGAGCGCGGGCGCGGCGCGCGAAGGUUCUCGACCGACCCAACCACCGUCGGCGAGGCUGCAGCCACCGGCCGCGGUGCGACGACCGGCGGGACCGCCGCAAACACCAGCGGGGUUCCGACGAAGACGAACGGCGGCGGGCCAGCGAAUGGACGAGGGGCGGCGAACGGCGGGGGUGGAGCGAGCGGAGGUGGGGCUCCGGCCAACGGCGGCGGCGGCGCGGUCACCGGCUCAGGCAACGGGAGCGGUGGAUGCGGAUGCGCUGCGGUGGCGGACCUGCGGACGGAUGUAUUCACCGAGGUGGGGAGGGUGCGGGGCUGCUACAACACCCUCGCCGAGGUGGAUGAGAAGCUGAUGGCGGAAAUAACGAGCGUUAAGCUGGAAGCCGCCAUGAACCAAGUGCGAUCCAAAGAGAAACUUGUUACUACAAUUUACACGAUGUUUGGAUCCGCCGUCGCCUUCACUUUUGCGGGCGCCACUCUGAUUGGGGGCUACGUGCACGACUUCGUCGUGCACGAAGCUGCCAAGGAAGUACGCGCCAAGCUUCGUCUGGACAAGGCCAAGGGCACGACGCCUCCUCCUGCAGCACCCCCGGCGGCGGGCAGCCCCCCCAAGUAG
This 681-nucleotide ribosomal RNA is filed under the name Triticum aestivum (bread wheat). Its description in RNAcentral is "partial small subunit ribosomal RNA". The record is from RNAcentral. Lineage: Eukaryota; Viridiplantae; Streptophyta; Magnoliopsida; Poales; Poaceae.